GACGAACGCUGGCGGCGUGCCUAAUACAUGCAAGUCGAGCGGAGUUAUUUUGAAAGCUUGCUUUCAAAAUAACUUAGCGGCGGACGGGUGAGUAACACGUAGGCAACCUGCCCUUCAGACUGGGAUAACUACCGGAAACGGUAGCUAAUACCGGAUAAUUUCUUUUUUCUCCUGAGAGAAGAAUGAAAGACGGAGCAAUCUGUCGCUGAGGGAUGGGCCUGCGGCGCAUUAGCUAGUUGGUGGGGUAACGGCCCACCAAGGCGACGAUGCGUAGCCGACCUGAGAGGGUGAACGGCCACACUGGGACUGAGACACGGCCCAGACUCCUACGGGAGGCAGCAGUAGGGAAUCUUCCGCAAUGGGCGAAAGCCUGACGGAGCAACGCCGCGUGAGUGAUGAAGGUUUUCGGAUCGUAAAGCUCUGUUGCCAGGGAAGAACGUCCGGUAGAGUAACUGCUAUCGGAGUGACGGUACCUGAGAAGAAAGCCCCGGCUAACUACGUG
Molecule: ribosomal RNA, 502 nt
Filed under: uncultured bacterium
Lineage: Bacteria
Description: bacterial SSU rRNA
Rfam family: Bacterial small subunit ribosomal RNA
Source: RNAcentral